GGCAUGGGUGAGCCGGAGAGUGACAGGGAUGCCUCAGUUGGCAGGUGAGGACCGCGCCAAGGAGCCUUGAGCUUAAUUCUGUAGCACGCAUGCGCGGGUGCUGCCGGGGAUGGCGUGCAGGGAAGUGGAGAGGUUAGCUGCCGCCCCCAGUGAUCUGACAGCCAGUCAGGAUGAGAGUGAUUUAGGAAACCCAAUGGGAGGCACGAAGAUAACCUAUAUCCAGAGACCUUGAGUUUGGAGACAGAACUGAUGGGGAACCUGAACACUGCCUUCUGGGAGACACGCAGCCUUGAGAAGGGUCUGCAGCUGAGUGAGUCUGGUGGAUGAUGUCAUUUAGGAGUGAAGAGAUGGCUGGAGCUCCUGAGUCCUCAUUCUUAUUCUGGAUUUGUCAUGGGGUAGUUAGAUGGCCCUGGAACUGGCUGCCCUGUACCUUGCUCUCCCUGCCCCAUCAGGGGUUCUUCUCCCACUGAGGCUACCUGGCAGAAAGCACAUGACCAGAGAGUACUUCCCAGUUUCCAGCCAGCCUCCUUCCAAGCCACCUCUACGCUGUGGCUCCACACAGCGGACAGCCACAGGCCUCUGGUUAAAUGACCCCUUCAAAGAGCUCAAGCAGGAACCCAGCUAGGUGAUAAAUGCUCCUGGUUCCAUUGGCAUUUAUGGCACAUAUAUGAUAAAGGACCCGAAAACAUUAUAAACUCAGAGCAGUUGGGAAAUACACCGGGAAAGCCCAGGGAAGACUGUCAUGCAUGUCCAGAGGGUAAUUCAUCUGGGAGUGCAGAAGCUGGAUGAGAGCUGACAUUGUGGGGACAAAGGAGGACUUUGCACACACAGCCCCCUCAGUGGGUGCUUCGUAUCGCCACGCCAUCCACGAAGUACUUGGAGCCAGCUCUCCUUACAGCUGCUUUGAAGUCUUCACAAAAUGAGCGGAAGCAUCCCCCAUCUUGCCCCAGGGCCGGUGUUCUUAUCCCCAGGCCCAGGGAUCGCCCAGGGUUUGCCAGUUUGUGCCUGGGGAAAACGUGAUGUCACCACCGAGGCACUACAGUCUGCUACCAUAAGGGCCCUUUCCUCCUCUGCGGGAGGUCCUUACUGUUAACUCCGCUCUGUGGACUCACAGAGCCUUCCAGGGUCUGUUCUUUUAUUUACAGCUUUAUCAUCUCUGUCUCCACCCUCUCAGUGUAUGCCCAGCACUUCCUGCUCUUUUGACCAAAUCAUCUCUUACACUUAGGGUCUACAAGUUCCUUAAGCCUCAGCUUUAUGCAGCAUCCUCUAAGGAGUCUCACAGAGUUCCCUCAGUCACAUCAUGCUUUGCCCUCUCCUGUGGUCCCAAGAGACUUUGCUGGUACCUCGGUAUCAGGUAGAGAUCUUGAGUUGCCUCCUUCCAGAGGACUCUAUUGUCUACCCAUCUCCUCCCCCAGGCUAGUCUCUUUAACCCUGGAGUACAUGGCAUCAUGUUGUGUGCACACAUGCAUGUGCGUGCGCGCAUACACCCACACACACCCACACACCCCUACUUUCUUUUGUGAUCUGAAUUCAAGUGGGCUACAGAACACACAGGGAGGUGUGGGAAGUGAUCAGAACAUCCUUAAACACAAUUCAACGGAACUAGUCAAAAGAUCCAGCUGUGUAGAAGCAGAUGGACCCAUUGUAGAAGUCAAGCCCUCUCUAAGCCUAGGAGACAUCAAUGCUAAUAACAACAGUGGCAAACCCACA
Non-coding RNA from Peromyscus maniculatus bairdii (prairie deer mouse), 1710 nucleotides. The record is from RefSeq and is a predicted model, not a curated record. Lineage: Eukaryota; Metazoa; Chordata; Mammalia; Rodentia; Cricetidae.